GUCGAACGGCAGCACGAGAAAGUCUUGUCUUUCGUUGGGUGGCGAGUGGCGGACGGGUGAGUAAUGCAUAGGAAUCUACCUCGAAGGCGGGGAGUAACCCGGGAAACUCGGGCUAAUACCGCAUAAUCUCUACGGAGGAAAGCAGGGGAUCUUCGGACCUUGCACUUUGAGAUGAGCCUAUGUCAGAUUAGCUAGUUGGUAGGGUAAAGGCCUACCAAGGCAAUGAUCUGUAGCUGGUCUGAGAGGAUGACCAGCCACACUGGGACUGAGACACGGCCCAGACUCCUACGGGAGGCAGCAGGUGGGAAUAUUGCGCAAUGGGCGAAAGCCUGACGCAGCGACGCCGCGUGGGUGAUGAAGGCCUUCGGGUCGUAAAGCCCUGUCGCAGGGGAAGAAUAAGCAUCGGUAUAAUACGCCGGUGCCCUGACGGUACCCUGCAAGAAAGCACCGGCUAACUCUGUG
Molecule: ribosomal RNA, 462 nt
Filed under: uncultured bacterium
Lineage: Bacteria
Description: bacterial SSU rRNA
Rfam family: Bacterial small subunit ribosomal RNA
Source: RNAcentral